AGGUGUUGGCGGGCCCAGCUAUCAGCAAGCUCCCCCUAGCUAUCAGCAGGGUGGUCAAGUUGGUGGCCCUUAUCAAGGAAAUGUGCCUGGUAGAGACUAGACUAAGGUUUUAUAGUGGAGAUAAAGUAGUAGUAGGAAAUGUGCCUGGUCAAUGUUGUUGGAGAAACCUCUCCUUUCUUUAUAUGAGGCAUGAACCUUCUGGUGA
This 205-nucleotide unclassified non-coding RNA is filed under the name Hevea brasiliensis (rubber tree). Lineage: Eukaryota; Viridiplantae; Streptophyta; Magnoliopsida; Malpighiales; Euphorbiaceae. The record is from RNAcentral.